GCGCCCGUAGCUCAACCGGACAGAGCAUCGGCCUUCUAAGCCGAGGGUUGCGGGUUCGAAUCCCGCCGGGCGCGCCA
This 77-nucleotide transfer RNA is filed under the name Arhodomonas aquaeolei. RNAcentral's name for it is "tRNA-Arg". It matches the Rfam family "tRNA". Rfam says of the family: Transfer RNA (tRNA) molecules are approximately 80 nucleotides in length. Their secondary structure includes four short double-helical elements and three loops (D, anti-codon, and T loops). RNAcentral also lists the same sequence under 3 other names. The record is from RNAcentral. Lineage: Bacteria; Pseudomonadati; Pseudomonadota; Gammaproteobacteria; Chromatiales; Ectothiorhodospiraceae.